RNAcentral lists this ribosomal RNA (253 nucleotides) under uncultured bacterium. RNAcentral's name for it is "partial 16S ribosomal RNA". It matches the Rfam family "Bacterial small subunit ribosomal RNA", at positions 524 to 776 of the family's 1533-position model. The record is from RNAcentral.
UACGAAGGGGGCUAGCGUUGUUCGGAAUUACUGGGCGUAAAGCGCACGUAGGCGGUUUGUUAAGUGAGGGGUGAAAUCCCAGGGCUCAACCCUGGAACUGCCUUUCAUACUGGCAAUCUCGAGUCCGAGAGAGGUGAGUGGAAUUCCGAGUGUAGAGGUGAAAUUCGUAGAUAUUCGGAAGAACACCAGUGGCGAAGGCGACUCACUGGACACGUAUUGACGCUGAGGUGCGAAAGCGUGGGGAGCAAACAGG